AUUGAACGCUGGCGGCAGGCCUAACACAUGCAAGUCGAACGGUAACAGGAAGAAGCUUGCUUCUUUGCUGACGAGUGGCGGACGGGUGAGUAAUGUCUGGGAAACUGCCUGAUGGAGGGGGAUAACUACUGGAAACGGUAGCUAAUACCGCAUAACGUCGCAAGACCAAAGAGGGGGACCUUCGGGCCUCUUGCCAUCGGAUGUGCCCAGAUGGGAUUAGCUAGUAGGUGGGGUAACGGCUCACCUAGGCGACGAUCCCUAGCUGGUCUGAGAGGAUGACCAGCCACACUGGAACUGAGACACGGUCCAGACUCCUACGGGAGGCAGCAGUGGGGAAUAUUGCACAAUGGGCGCAAGCCUGAUGCAGCCAUGCCGCGUGUAUGAAGAAGGCCUUCGGAUUGUAAAGUACUUUCAGCGGGGAGGAAGGGAGUAAAGUUAAUACCUUUGCUCAUUGACGUUACCCGCAGAAGAAGCACCGGCUAACUCCGUG
Molecule: ribosomal RNA, 490 nt
Filed under: uncultured bacterium
Lineage: Bacteria
Description: partial 16S ribosomal RNA
Rfam family: Bacterial small subunit ribosomal RNA
Source: RNAcentral